RNAcentral lists this long non-coding RNA (3539 nucleotides) under Salmo salar (Atlantic salmon). RNAcentral describes it as "lncRNA (ENSSSAG00000088641.1)". The record is from RNAcentral. Lineage: Eukaryota; Metazoa; Chordata; Actinopteri; Salmoniformes; Salmonidae.
AUUUUGGGAAGGAAGCCGCACCACCAGUUUCCACCCGCCACAGUGCAUGAUGGGAUGGGAUGGAAUCCACCACAAACCUCCCUGAGCAGGAAAUCACAUUGUCAUGCUGGAGGGCCAUGUCAGGAUGAGCCUGCAGGAAGGGUACUACGUGAGGCAGGAGGAUGUCUUCCCUGUAAAGCACAGCGUUGAGAUUGCCUGCAAUGACAACAAGCUCAGUCCGAUGAUGCUGUGACACACCACCCCAGAGCAUGAAGGACCCUCCACCUCCAAAUCGAUCCUGCUCCAGAGUACAGGCAUCGGUGUAAUGCACAUUCCUUUGACGAUAAACGCAAAUCCGACCAUCACCCCUGGUGAGACAAAACCGCGACUCGUCAGUGAAGAGAACUUUUUGCCAGUCCUGUCUGGUCCAGCGAUGGUGGGUUUGUUUCCAUAGGCGACGUUGUUGCCGGUGAUGUCUGGUGAGGACCUGCCUUACAACAGGCCUACAAGCCCUGAGUCCAUUCUCUCUCAGCCUAUUGCGGACAGUCUGAGCACUGAUGGAGGGAUUAUGCAUUCCUGGUGUAACUCGGGCAGUUGUUGUUGCCAUCCUGUACCUGUCCCGCAGGUGUGAUGUUCGGAUGUCCCAAUCCUGUGCAGGUGUUGUUACACGUGGUCUGCCACUGCACGUUCACACAGAUGAGUAGGGACUAGAGGUCGACCGAUUAAUCGGAAUGGCCGAUUAAUUAGGGCCGAUUUCAACUUUUCAUAACAAUCGGUAAUUGGUAUUUUUGGCCAACGAUUUGACGAUUUAUUUUUGUUUACAUUUUUUAUUAUAUAUAUAUUUUUUUUUACACCUUUAUUUAACUAGACAGGUCAGAUUAAGAACACAUUCUUAUUUUCAAUGACAGCCUAGGAACGGGGGUUAACUGGGGGGAUUCGGGGAUUCAUUUUUGCAACCUUCCGGUUACUAGUCCAACGCUCUAACCAUCUGUCUUACAUUGCACUCCAUGAGGAGCCUGCAUGGCAGGCUGACUACCUGUUACGCGAGUGCAGCAAGAAGCCAAGGUAAGUUGCUAGCUAGCAUUAAACUUAUCUUAUAAAAAACUAUCAAUCUUAACAUUAUCACUAGUUAACUACACAUGGUUGAUGAUAUUACCAGUUUAUCUAACGUGUCCUGCGUUGCAUAUAAUCGAUGCGGUGCCUGUUAAUUUCUCAUUGAAUCACAGCCUACUUCGACAAACGGGUGUUGAUUUAACAAACGCAUUUGCAAAAAAAGCACUGUCAUUGCACCAACGUACCUAACCAUAAACAUCAAUGCCUUUCUUUAAAACCAAUACACAAGUAUAUAUUUUUAGACCAGCAUAUUUAGUUAAUAUUGCCUGCUAACAUGAAAUUGUGUCACUUAUCUUGCGUUCAUUGCACGCAGUCAGGGUAUAUGCAACAGUUUGGGCCGCCUCGCUCGUUGCGAACUAAUUUGCCAGAAUUUUACGUAAUUAUGACAUAACAUUGAAGGUUGUGCAAUGUAACAGGAAUAUUUAGACUUAGGGAUGCCACCCGUUAGAUAAAAUACGGAACGGUUCAUUCAAACAGCACUUUCGUGCGUUUUGCCAGCAGCUCUAAGCUGUGCUUCAGGCAUUGCGCUGUUUAUGACUUCAAGCCGGGUGGGUAUAAUUUGUGGAACGUUCCAACAGGAAUCUAUUCCAAAAACUUCGAAAAUAACAAGGUUGCCAAAAAACAAUGCAUACAAAGUUGUAUAGCGUCAGAAUAAGAUACCGGGUAGGGAGUGGUCUAUUUCAUUGCGUUUUUCAUUCAUCACGUUUAUUCUGAAAAAUGUCUGUCCUCACUCUGGUUGCCUAUGGACAAACAUUAACAAUAAGGUACGUGGUGAGUUGUUGCCUAUUCGGCAGCUAGUUAGCUAGGUUUGUAUGCGUUGCUACUUUGUAUGCGUUGUUGGUUGGCAACCUUUUACUUUAUGUUUUUUGGAACAGAUUCCUGUUGGAACGUUCCACAAAUUAUACCCACCCCUUCAAGCCUAUCAACUCCCAAGAUUAGGCUGGUGUAACCGAUGUGAAAUGGCUAGCUAGUUAGUGGGGUGCGCGCUAAUAGCGUUUCAAACGUCACUCGCUCUGAGACUUGGAGUAGUUGUUCCCCUUGCUCUGCAUGGGUAACGCUGCUUCGAGGGUGGGUGUUGUCGAUGUGUUUCUGGUUCGAGCUCAGGUAGGAGCGAGGAGAGGGACGGAAGAUAUACUGUUACACUGGCAAUACUAAAGUGCCUAUUAGAACAUCCAAUAGUCAAAGGUAUAUGAAAUACAAAUCGUAUAGAGAAAUAGUCCUAUAAUUCCUAUAAUAACUACAACCUAAAACUUCUUACCUGGGAAUAUUGAAGACUCAUGUUAAAAGGAACCACCAGCCUUCAUAUGUUCCCAUGUUCUGAGCAAGGCACUUAAACGUUAGCUUUCUUACAUGGCACAUAUUGCACUUUUACUUUCUUCUCCAACACUUUGUUUUGCAUUAUUUAAACCAAAUUGAACAUGUUUCAUUAUUUAUUUGAGGCUAAAUUGAUUUUAUUGAUGUAUUAUAUUAAGUUAAAAUAAGUGUUCAUUCAGUAUUGUUGUAAUUGUCAUUAUUACAAAUAAAUACAUUGUGUAAAAAAUUGGCCGAUUAAUCGGUAGCGGCUUUUUUGGCCCUCCAAUAAUUGGUAUCGGUGUUGAAAAAUCAUUAUCGGUCGACCUCUAGUAGGGACCCUGUGUCACGCCCUGAUCUGUUUCACCUGCUCCUGUUAUUGUCUCCACCCCCUCUAGGUGUCGCUUAUUUUCCCCAGUGUAUUUAUCCUUGUGUUUCCUGUCUCUCUGUGCCAGUUCGUCUUUAUGUUAGUUAAGUCAACCAGUGUGUUUUUCCCGUACUCCCUUUUUUAUUCUCUUUUUGAUAGUCUUCCCGGUUUUGACCCCUGCCUGACUCAGGACUACUUUUCCGCCUGCCUGAUCAUCCUGCCUGCCCUGACCUUGAUUCUGCCUGCCCUUCGGUACCUUUUGGACUCCAAACUGGUUUUGACCCUUUGCCUGUCUGCGACCAUUCUCUUGCUUUACCCUAUUGGAUGAAUAAAUAUUGUAAGACUCCAACCAUCUGCCUCCUGUGUCGGCUUCUGGGUCUCGCCUUGUGUCAUGAUACCCUAGGCAUCUUUCUUUUGGUGUUUUUCAGAGUCAGUAGAAAGGCCUCUUUAGUGUCCUAAGUUUUCAUAACUGUGACCUUAAUUGCCUACCGUCUGUAAGCUGUUAGUGUCUUAACGACCGUUCCACAGGUGCAUGUUCAUUAAUUGUUUAUGGUUCAUUGAACAAGCAUGGGAAACAGUGUUUAAACCCUUUACAAUGAAGAUCUGUGAAGUUAUUGGGAUUUUUACGAAUUAUCUUUGAAAGACAGUGUCUUGAAAAAGGGACAUUUCUUUUCUUGCUGAGUUUAAAUUACACCAAAUACCAGUUUGAUAACAGUUGAAUAGUUAGUAAGCCGGUAAUAAGUGUUUGUUACAUAGAAUACAACAGGUGCAUAAACUAAUACACAAAGAC